RNAcentral lists this transfer RNA (77 nucleotides) under Rhodothermales bacterium. RNAcentral's name for it is "tRNA-Arg". It matches the Rfam family "tRNA". Rfam says of the family: Transfer RNA (tRNA) molecules are approximately 80 nucleotides in length. Their secondary structure includes four short double-helical elements and three loops (D, anti-codon, and T loops). The record is from RNAcentral. Lineage: Bacteria; Pseudomonadati; Rhodothermota; Rhodothermia; Rhodothermales.
GCGCCAGUAGCUCAGCUGGAUAGAGCAACGGAUUUCUAAUCCGUAGGUCGCAGGUUCAAGUCCUGCCUGGCGUACCA